Molecule: ribosomal RNA, 233 nt
Filed under: uncultured bacterium
Lineage: Bacteria
Description: partial 16S ribosomal RNA
Rfam family: Bacterial small subunit ribosomal RNA
Source: RNAcentral
CGGACGGGUGAGUAACACGUAGGUAACCUGCCCUGUAGUGGGGGAUACCCAGCCGAAAGGUUGGCUAAUACCGCAUACCUUCGUUGGUCGAGACACCGAUGAAGAAAGAUUUAUCGCUACUGGAGGGGCCUGCGUACGAUUAGCUAGUUGGUGAGGUAAUGGCUCACCAAGGCGACGAUCGUUAACUGGUCUGAGAGGACGACCAGUCACACUGGAACUGAGACACGGUCCAG